RNAcentral lists this transfer-messenger RNA (402 nucleotides) under Candidatus Nomurabacteria bacterium RIFOXYA2_FULL_35_9. It matches the Rfam family "transfer-messenger RNA". Rfam says of the family: Bacterial tmRNA, also known as 10Sa RNA or SsrA, is named for its dual tRNA and mRNA-like properties. The record is from RNAcentral. RNAcentral also lists the same sequence under 3 other names. Lineage: Bacteria; Candidatus Nomuraibacteriota.
GGGGAUGCAAGGCAUAGACAGUUGGCCUUUUGUUAUUGAUGCAUACCGAGAAUGGACGUAAUCUCGUAAAACUUCGUUCAAUAGCUUAAUUGCAAAAUUAGCUUCCAAAGUGAAAGCUCUAGUCUCUCCAUACUUCGGUAUGAAUGACUUUGCUUUCGCUUCAGUUUCCGCUUCGGCGUAAACUGAUGUCUCUCUUAUAGACUUCCGAUAUAUAAGCAGGGGCACAAUAUUAUCGGGAUAGCUCCGACGCGGCUUCGCCGUCGGAGCAAAACACAGAAGAUCGAUUAAAAAAUAUUUGGCUCGUUUAAGAAUUUUUUAAUUUAAACAAAAAAGCGAGCUAUAUAUGUAGACUUCUUUACAAAAACCUUCUGCACGGGGAUUCAAUUUCCCCCAUCUCCACUA